UACGUAGGGUGCGAGCGUUAAUCGGAAUUACUGGGCGUAAAGCGUGCGCAGGCGGUGGUCUAAGACAGAUGUGAAAUCCCCGGGCUUAACCUGGGAACUGCGUUUGUGACUGGAUCACUAGAGUGUGGCAGAGGGGGGUGGAAUUCCACGUGUAGCAGUGAAAUGCGUAGAGAUGUGGAGGAACACCGAUGGCGAAGGCAGCCCCCUGGGUCAACACUGACGCUCAUGCACGAAAGCGUGGGGAGCAAACAGG
RNAcentral lists this ribosomal RNA (253 nucleotides) under uncultured bacterium. Its description in RNAcentral is "partial 16S ribosomal RNA". It matches the Rfam family "Bacterial small subunit ribosomal RNA", at positions 524 to 776 of the family's 1533-position model. The record is from RNAcentral.